RNAcentral lists this long non-coding RNA (263 nucleotides) under Elaeis guineensis (African oil palm). Its description in RNAcentral is "long non-coding RNA (EGUI_LNC004784)". Lineage: Eukaryota; Viridiplantae; Streptophyta; Magnoliopsida; Arecales; Arecaceae. The record is from RNAcentral.
AUCCUUGCACUAAAAUAAUAAAUUUAUUUUUCUAAAGCUACUGCUUAGCGGGUGCUUAAUCCGCACUCUAUAUGUGUAGAACUUGUGAAAGCUAAAUACAAGUUUCAUGGCACAUGGGUCAACUAUCACAGCCUAAAAUGCUCUACCCUUUGGUGCUGAAUUGUCUCGCACUAAUUUUCUAUUUAGUUCUAUUUUAUUUGGAAUCUUAUAGAUGGAAAAUUAGUGGACUUUAUGACCAACUCUUGGAUUUCUACAUUGCCUCU